This 86-nucleotide transfer RNA is filed under the name Psychromonas algarum. Its description in RNAcentral is "Psychromonas sp. RZ22 tRNA-Leu". It matches the Rfam family "tRNA". From Rfam's summary of the family: Transfer RNA (tRNA) molecules are approximately 80 nucleotides in length. Their secondary structure includes four short double-helical elements and three loops (D, anti-codon, and T loops). The record is from RNAcentral. Lineage: Bacteria; Pseudomonadati; Pseudomonadota; Gammaproteobacteria; Alteromonadales; Psychromonadaceae.
GCCCGGGUGGUGAAAUCGGUAGACACAAGGGAUUUAAAAUCCCUCGCUCAAUAGGCGUGCCAGUUCAAGUCUGGCUCCGGGCACCA